Long non-coding RNA from Gasterosteus aculeatus aculeatus (three-spined stickleback), 35581 nucleotides. NCBI's taxonomy places the organism in Eukaryota, Metazoa, Chordata, Actinopteri, Perciformes, Gasterosteidae. The record is from Ensembl.
UUUCACCAAGACCCAACAUAUGAGACCCGAUACCACAAUUGUAAACAACUUUGGCACGUCAGUUAUAUUAGUGUCUCGAACACGCACAUCAAAUGCAACAACUGUAAACGCAUAUGUAAAUGUUUUGAUCAACACAAGCUUCCAGAAGCACUACAAGCAGUCAUACCUUGUGACGCUAUGAAAUAGUGUGGGGCAUGUGGAAAAACAUACAGAUAUGGUAAAAAUGCAUGCCGAAUGUUUGUUUACACUGUGAGGAGCAACGAAUGGACGAGCAGAAAUGUUUCAUUCAACCCAUUGAAAAGAAAGAUCCACAAACAGCCUACAUAUUGUUUGACUUUGAGACACAAUUUCAUAAUGGUAAGUACGAGGCAUAUCAUGUAUGUGCAAUGGAUCUUGAGGGAAAGAGGAUAUGUUUACAUACAACGGCUAUACAUUCAUAGCCCAUAAUGCAUCUGGAUUUGACAACUAUAUAGUGCUGGAAUAUUUUGUAAAACAGAUCGUCAUGCCCCAGGUGACCAUGAGUGGGAGCCGGGUCAUGCUUAUGUAUGACAAGGCAUACCAGCAGAGAUGGGUUGACUCAUUUAGUUUUCUCCCUAUGCGUUUGUCAAAAACACCCUCAGCAUUGGGGUUGGAGGACGUGGAGUAGGGGUAUUUUCCCCACAAGUUCAACGCUACGGAGAGUGAAUACUAUUUUGGGAAAUACCCGUAUCCAUCAUUCUACGGAUACGACAAGAAAAAACUGCAUUCAUAAGACGGUACGGCACCGUUUGCGAGGAACAUUUGAAGCUAGAAGCUAGCUACAUUAGAAGCUACUGUGUCAAUGAUGUAGAGGUAUUGCGAAGAGCAUGAUCAAUCUAUCGUGGAACAUUCCUAGAGUGCCCCCAGCUUGACCCUUUCUCUUUCACCACGUUGGCAUUGAGCUGUAUGGGUGUGUUUAAAACAUUGUUUCUCCCAAGGGACACAGUGGCUCUGACGUAUGAAGGGGCGUACACAGCACAGAAUAAAACAUUCUGAUGUUUCCAUGCAGUGGCUUGAAUAUGUGCCUCACACAGAAGAAACAUGCCCUCAACCAUGGGGAGCAGUUUGCUCCGUUCUAUGUGGACGGUUAUAAUUCUGUAACAAACACUUGUUAUGAACUUGCUGGAUGUUUUUUUCUAUAUGUUUCAAAUGUCACGUACAGAGUGACAAGAACCCAGUCGCCAAAGUUCCAUUUGUUAGACAAUACAAGGCGUUUGGAUGAAAUAGAUGGCCUGCAAAAAUAUGGUUUGAAUGUUGUGAGUAGGCCUCAUUAAAACUGUCCAGUGCUCCUGUACAGGCCUUUAUGGCCACAUACAAAAGCACGAACGUCUGGAUCCUAGAAAGGCUCUCUUUAGUGGGCGUACGAAUGCUACGAAAAUGUACCAUUGGGUCAGCAAUGAUGGUGAUGAAAAAAUCAGAUACAAGUCUGUAUCCAACUGUACAGGCAAAAAAGAAAAAACAGUAUCCCGUCAGACAAGGAUUUUGAAUCUAUCAAUAAUUACUUCGGCCUCAUAUAGGGUGCUCCCACCCAGAGGUUUGUUUCAGUCCGUCUACAGAUGUCAUGAAAAACUCAUGUUCCCGCUGUGCGGCAAGUGUGCUGAGGCUUUGAACUAAACUAGUCAUGUCACUAGCCGACAACUGUCGGAGGUGUGGGUCUCACUUGAGCUGCAGAAGGCUGUGGAAAAGGGGUACAGGAUUGUGUCCAUCAAUGCCCAAAAUGCAUCAUCAUAAUGAUGAAGUCUGGCAUUUCCCCAAUAAGACAGACACAUUGUUUAGUGGGUAUGUGAAGACAUUCAUGAAAUGUAAGGUGCCCCAUAUAAAGAUUCUCCUAGUUGCAUGGAGAAUGUUUUCAAUGUAACGGUCAAUGGCAUAUUUGGCAUUCGUCUGUUGUAGGGCUCUGCUAGGAGCUAUGGAAACUUUCUUCACAAAUACACUGGCUGACACAAUCUUAACCUUGUAAUGUGCAGCUGCCGCAGUCAGAGAGAAUGGGGUAUUGGGAGCAAUUAAAUCGACUGCGGCUUGCUCCGGUGUGGCCUCCUCGCUAAUCCCUCAUUGUCCCCUUUUUAUAGACGCAUCGUCCAUAUGCUCAGCUGUGUCUUUACUAAACAGGGCGCUGCUGAACUGCGUCUUCACAGCCUGAUCUCCAAAACCUGUUCGUAAAAAUGUGUACGAAAAUCUUGAACAUACAAAUUUCGUAGUGAUACAUACGAAAUAAAUACGGACUGCAACUGAUGACGUCACCCUAUUCAAAGUGAAUGGGGACCUGCACCCCGUAAACACACUUUGUGAAGUCUAACGAUGUAAAAAUAAAGUGUUAUGAUUGCAUUUUUAACGAGAAAUCAAUGUUAACUUGUAAGAAUAGAAUACUAACCCUAACCCCGUCAAAAAGUAAAGUAAUCUUCUCCACUGGCAGAGAUAUGAAACUCCAGUGGGCCGCUGUCUGUUAUGGCUGAGAUGGGAGGGAUUUUGAUGAGAAUAUGUCUCUCGACGGACAUUUGCGUGAAAGGAACCGUAGAGAGAUCCAGUUCUGAAUUCUGUCGAUUGAUCAUGAAUGAGAGCCAUAGUUUCUUUUGCCAGAGUCCGGGAGCGUUUUAUCAGGGAACAGCCUGGAUCUGUGCCGACCUUCUUUUUGACAUGUCUCAUGUUUUUACCUCAACAACCUCCACAAUCGGUGGCCGGUCUUUCCAAAGCCCUGUGAGUCUCUACCAACGACAUUGUUCAUUCGCAAAGUUUAAACAGCGAAGGAGCGGUACAUAGCUGUUACCAACUAAUUGAUAGUCGACAAUAUUGCUAUAUACGUAUAAAGUGUAACAACCGGCAUGAAUGUCUGCUAGGAAUUUGGUAUUAAAGGAUUUGAUAUUAGUGGAUAAUGGAAAAGGUGUUGUUUAAAACCCAGUAUUGCCACCAGCUGUCCUUCAAAGGCUAUAGUUGACUCCUUUGCUACUCCAGAAUGUAAAUGCAGUUUUUAACAAUGCUGUUAUGCAUAUACCUGCCAAAGGAGGGUAACUACUAAUUCUCAAAUGAAUCGCUUUAGUUGUUGCCUGUAAACAGUCAUAAACCCCUAGGUCCAGUGCAAAGACUUUAGUAGUCCUGGAUUUAGUUCCGAAAUGGUGGAACGAGCUCUCUGAUGACAUCAGGGCCGCAGAGAGCCUUCACAUCUUCCGCCGCAAACUAAAGACACACCUCUUCAGACUCUACCCUCGACUAAUAGACUACAAAUUGUAGCACUUAAAUUGUACUUGUAACGCCACUUAUCUAUAGCAAAAUGUAAAUUGGCUUUUUUGAGGAAAUUGCACUUUUGUUUUUUACUCUGAGUUUGUAUCCCUAUGGUUGAAUGCACUUAUUGUAAGUCGCUUUGGAUAAAAGCGUCCGCUAAAUGACGUGUAGUGUUUUUUUUUUUGUAAUUUUACUAGCACCUGUUUCUCGCUCCUUCAGAUUUUUCUUUCCAAUAGGUUUUUUAAUUUAAUUACUUUGUUUUUACCGAUAAUUACAUUUUGCAACUCCCUCUCGUAAAAUGCCCUUUUCGCCGACAGUCAGUAAGCCGUAGGCGGAUCUCUGGUUAUACACUUUGAUAUUAUAAAAUGCUAACCGGUGAAUGUUUGUUUAUAACCCUUCCUAAACACUUCUGAGUUUUUAAACUUGUAUAGAUGGUUGAAGACAACCUUUUCAUUCAAUUGUUAUAGGCGCCUAUGAGAUCUUGAACCACAUCCAUAUAUCUGAUAUGUACAGCUGCCUUGGCAAGUAAACUCGGCAAGUAUACACGUCUUGUUGAAAAUGAAUUAACCGCGGACAUUGACACACACCGGUACAUUCUCUAACGGCAUUGCAGUUUAGCCACACUGCCCAGCCUGCCGGGGUGUGCUGGAUCAUAAUAAAUCUUUUGCAGCGUCCUUUCCAUGAUAGUUCUAACAUUUUAUUGUUGUAUAAAAAACAUAUCGACAGUAGUCUGAUAACAAUAUCAUCCGUUUUAAAAACGGGCAUACCUCCAUACCCCCAAAAAAUGCCAUAUAUAUACUAAGCUUAUAUUUAGGGGACAACGAGACAGGUAGCAGUAUUGAUUUAGUUGAUAAAAGAACCGCACCAGAGGACGAAGCAACAAAUUAUGAUUUUUUUACGUUUUGUAAGAUUUGUGGGAGCAGCUUGGCUCUAUUGACGCAGUUUAAAAUCCCAACUGUAAAAGAAACAGCCAGAACUUCAACUACUCCAAGCCUUUUCUCCCGUCAAAACUCCUAUCACACUUGAAAAGUCAAAUGAAAAAAUGAUAUCAAAGGAAUAUACAAAAGUAGAUAUUGUCCCUUGAGAGAGAAUUUCAGUCAUUACAUGUGUCUGCUUUGAACCAUCAUUCAGCUUUAUUUUGGCGACCGACCUCUAAAGAGGGGCAUGCUCAAGGCAGACCAUUUCGUGUUUCUAUUUGAAGACAAAAAGCAAUGAAAGUGCAAUCUUUGAGAUUUGAAUAUUGCACCGCUGAAGUUCCUGCCGAAAGAACAUUUUUCAAUUAGUUGAACAAAAUGCAUUUACAAAAAACCCUGUGCCAAACCCAAGGCUCAUUUUUCCACCAGUUUUUUUUGCAUUAUCUUUUCUAAUUAUUUAAUAAUGAAAUAAAAGGUUUCUUUAAGAACGUGUAAAUAAUUGUGGCUUUGAAAUUUGCCAUUUCCAUGACGCUUCUCAUAAUUUGCAACAUCAUUGUUUAAAAAUAAUUCUUGAAUGGAAAUCAAAUGAGAGAGCAAGAACGAGAGAGAAGGGGCAGAUUUGGAAGCAUCUAAGAGUUGGGCCGGGUAAUUAAUUUCCCAUUGGUGCAGCACAUUUGCUAGAGGCCAUGUAAAUACUCUCCUACCCUCCGAAGCAUGGCAUUUUAAAGGGAUCAGCUGCCUAUUAAGCUACAGAUUAGCAUUCUGUGGGUUAAUCUCCCACCCCAAGAGCAGAGGAAACAGGCAACGAUGACAAUGAUGCGCAGGGACGAAGGAAAAUAAGAGGGAGGUAGGAAAGAGAAUGCAGAGUCGGAGAUGUGAAGGAGAAAAUCAAAAAUAGGAGGAAUGAAGAAAUGUAAAUUGGCAAAAAAAGAGAUGAGAAGAAUAUAAAAAGGAAAACUAUAAGUCAGACAAGGAGGGGAAUAUAUAUAUAUGACAGAUUUUUUCAAUGUGUAUACUAUUAUGAACCAGACAAUAUUGGUCACCAUCACCUACAAUCUAGCAAACACAAAGCCGAAUGCAUCAUUUAGCAUUUGGUGCACUGAUUAUAUUACAAUAAUUCAAUUCAAGUGUCGUGAACAUAAACCAGUGAGAGCAAUUUUUUUCAGGAUACCAGUGGAAAAGUAUACGGAAUUGGUGGGGAGCAAGGUGAUGAGACCAGACAGAGCAAGGCCGGCAGACCGAGAGAACCGGGAGGAUGAUCCAACACUGUGGCCACAGGGAGACAAGACAAGUAUAUAUAUUCAAGCAUUUGAAAAUACUCCAAAACAGGCUUCUAUGUACAACCUGGAACAAGUUCUACCACUGACGGUUUUACAACAAUCUGGCGUUGUGGAUCAGAAAUCGGGGUAGAUAUGCUGUGGAGUGAUGAGUAGAUAGAAGGCAGCUGGGUAGAACGGGCUAAUGUUGUGGACGGAGGAUGGCGCCCCACCCAUGAAGGGAACACAGACAAACAGGCUAUGUCUCAUUUGGUGAGCCGCAUACUCAUGAGAACCCGGCAUUCGCAGUCGACCUGGGAUGGGCCAAUACAAUCAUUUUAAAAAAGAAAGAGGGACAGGUAGCAGACAGGUUGGAGCAGAUAAGCUAAUUCUCCAUCAGAGCCUCCCAGUACAAGGGAAAAUAAAAAGACAAGAGAACAAACAAAUGGCAAAUAAACAAACAAGCUGCUGUGAAAGCAUACACAGCAGGGUGCCUCUUAUUCGUACUGUGACAGCGGACCUCUGUACCUCCACCCCUCGUUCAUCUUUUCCACCUCAAUGUAUCAUCUACAGUACGCCCCAGUGUUCUCCAUCAUCUUCCCUUUGUUACCGUCAAUGUGUGGAAGAAUUUAACAAUAAUUCUUGGCAUGACAGGACGUCACUGAGAGAGCAGAUACACCGGUUUCCCCUCCCACAAGGUUAGUGAGGCCAGAGCUCUAAUUCAAAUUCACAUCACGUCCUCCUUCAACUAACCUCACUCCUGCGGUUACACUUUUAACAAUUUACUUGUCAACUCCUCUCUGGGAACCGUCACCUUAUCGUGGUGGAGAGAUUUGUGUGUCCCUAUGACCCUGAGGGUUGUGUUGUCGGGAGCCUUGUGCUCCUGGUAGGGUUACUCUUGGCAAAGUGGUCUCAGGCGAGGGGCCAGACUAAGAAUGGUUCAAAAAGACCCUAUGAAAAAACGGAAGAGGGAAGGAGUUACCCGGCCCGGAGGAAGCCCGGGGCCCCCAUUUGGAGCCAGGCCCAGAUGUAGGGCCCAGAUGGAGGGCCCGACAGCGAGCGUCAUGGUUCUCAGCAAGAAACCGAUGGAUUGCCUACUCCAGGUAGGGAAUGUGUCCUUACCCCAAGUGAAGGAGUUCAAGUACCUCAGGGUCUUGUUCACGAGUGAGGGGAAGAUGGAGUGUGAGUUUGGCCGGAGAAUCGGAGCAGCGGAGGCGGUAUUGCACUCGCUUUACCGCACCGUUGUGACGAAAAGAGAGCUGAGCCGGAAGGCAAAGCUCUCGAUCUACCGGUCAAUCUUCAUUCCUACCCUCACCUAUGGUCAUGAAGGAGUCAUGACCGAAAGAACUAGGUCACGGGUACAAGCGGCUGAAAUGGGUUUCCUCAGGAGAGUGGCUGGCGUGUCCUUUAGAGAUAGGGUGAGAAGCUCAGCCAUUCGUGAGGAGCUCUGAGUAGAGCCGCUGCUCCUUUGCGUCGAAAGGAGCCAGUUGAGGUGGUUCGGCCAGCUGGGAAGCGGCCCCGGGGAAGACCCAGGACUAGGUGGACAGAUUAUAUCUCUGCACUGGCCUGGGAACGCCUUGGGAUCCCCCAGUCAGAGCUGGUAGAUGUCGGGAAAGGGAAGUUUGGGCUCCCCUGCUGGAGCUGUUGCCCGGCCGACCCGACCCCGGAUAAGCGGUUGAAAAUGGAUGGAUGGACCUGUCAGCUCGUAAUGCCACCAAUCGCAAGGGUAGCAGUUCAGUUGGUCUUAAAUGGACAAAAUGACUAGAGAUAACACUGCAUGUAAAAUGAAAAGACGAGUGGGCGUAGUGUUGCUAAGUGCCAGAAAACCAGACAUUUUACAGAGACUCCAAAACCACAUUUAUAUUCAAAUGUAAACUAAGGAAACACAAGUACUUUUUGAGUCAAGCAACAGAAGUACUUGGGUCCAAUCCCAAUCUGCACCCUUACGACGCAAACUUUGAGGCACGCUCCCGCUGACUCCAUGGGGGGUUAGGGCUGUCUCACUGUGAAAUCAUUGUGUGUUUACGUCUUCUGACUUACUAGGGCAUACAAGUGAGUCUCUGAUGCGGAAAUCAGAUGAUCACCAAAAGCUCCAAAUAAACUUCCCCUCGUCUGCUGUGUGAGGUGUGCCAUUGUGCUGCUGAGUUAUUCUUUGGAAGUUUUGGAAAGGUUUUCGGCCAUUUGUUUUAUUUUUACCUGUUUUGUGGCGCGUAACAGCCUCUAACCCUAAGCAUUCUAAAAAGGCCUUAACAGUAAGGUUUAACUGCUGCACCCUGAGCCGCUUUUUGGCCACUGCUCAAAAAAUACCCAUGAUAUAAAGUGUAAUUACUGUUGUGACCAUUUGUCCUUGGGAUCAAUAAACAAUUGUGUCAAAGGGCCACCGAUGCAUUACUAGCUAGUUUCUUUUACGCAGCAAGAGAGCGGCUUGUCAAAGCAGAAAGAAAUCCAUCAACACCAACCCUAACCCUAACCCAAGUUUUAUACACUUACAAACACAUACAGACCGAUGAACAUGCAGCACUGUACUGGGGAUAUGCAACAAUCUCUGCACACAUGUAUGCUGUCAGAAUAUAUGGGAACAGUUGAUUGCACACACACAGACACACACUAUCCCCUGAGAAAUCCCCACAUGAGUUUUAAGCUCAGUGGGGAACUGUGAUUCUCUAACAUGCGUUUGAUUCCUGUGGGAAUUAUUUUAAUAUUGCAUUUAGACCAUUGAAAACAAGCUGCCAUACGGAGCUCAAUAUUUUGCUGUUGUGGAAAAAUGGAAUUGUAAAAGCAUUCCACAUAGCCAGUAAACUGUUUUUCCUUUUAGUCAUUACAUGUGUUGCGUAAUAGUUUAAAGCACGGGAAACUGACAGCAAAAACUCCAUACAAGGUAAUCUUGGUUUUAAGGUAGGAAAUCAGCUAGGGGGUGCGGAUUACAGAGGUAUGAAGGUUCAUGUGAAAACACUGCUAAUCCCAGAGUUUAAUGUAUUGAAGCAACAGACAAUGUUGGACGUGUGAAAAGAAGGAGCAUUCCAAAACACUAUAUGUGCCAAGAUAUUUCCCAGGCUGUAGAGGUCCAAAUUGUUACAACAAUCUUUGUAGUGGACAAUCGAAGAGCGCUACAGCGUGCAAUAAGGUAAUGGGAUGCUAACUAAAAAGCAUUGAAGAAACUACAGCAUGCAAACCCACAUUCACACUUCCCCAUCUGAGAGAGACAGAAACUACUACUACUACUAAAGGUACCACUAGCCAAACUCUAAUUUGGAGAAAUGAUUGAUUCCAAAAACAUUGAGAGGAUUCAACCUGGAAACUUCUGUAAUUAUUUAGGCGGAUUUACUGAUCACGGCGUGAGUCCCGUGGCUCGAGUCCAUAGGUAGCUAGAGUACAGGGACUCUACAGACGGAGAGAAAGUCAGUAACGCACAAGGUAAGGCAGAGGAACUCACAGACCGGCAGUGGUGAUUACCGUUGAAUAAAACAGAAUAGACUUCAACCAGGGUUGAAGAACCACCAAUGACGAGUCCUCAUUGGUCAUAGCUGUAUCCCGCUCAGGAAUGUGGCAAUGUGGAGGUGGGACCAAGAACACACCCACAAUAAGCACAUGGCAAAACAGAAUAAAAUGGGGAUGACGGACACAUGAGGGAAGGAGUCUUGGGGGUAAAAACCGAGGCAAAAGAGAGAACGGGAACAGGGAUCCUGACAUUUGUGGGGGAAAAACCGAGACUUUUCUUCAUUCUCGGUUCUGUGCUUUACGGAGACGUGGCUUUGUGGAUCAAUACCAGACUCCGUGUUCCAGCUGCUUAGAGCGGACUGCAACACGGAGCAUUAAGGCGAGACAAAAGGUGGAGGAAUCUGUUUUUUUAUCAACACCAGCCGAUGCAACGAGGUGUCAGUGAUCCAACCAUAUUGUUCUCCUCAUCUGGAAUCCUUUAUUGUAAACUUUAAACCCUUCUACUGCCCCUGUGAGUUUACUGAUCAGUGUUUAUAUGCUUCUGCAUGCCAACGUGCAGGAAGCACAUCGGAUGCUCGCCGACUAGAUACUGUGUUUGGAACGAACCAACCCAGACUCCAUGAAACCUCAGCCAUGAACUCUCCAAAUAGUUAAAUGCUUCAUCAGAGAGAAGAAAACUCUGGGACCAUCUAUCUUAAAGAGCUUGUAACACCGUAUUACAAGGCAGCUGUGCUCCAUAGAUGCUGGGUUACUUGUUGUUCCUAUGGUUUUAAAAAGUAGGAUGGGUGCCAGAGCCUUCAGUUAUCAAGCUCCUCUUUUGUGGAACCAGCUUCCAUUUUCAGUCCGGGGGCAGAUUCGGUCAGCUAUUUUAAAGUAAAGCUCAAAACUUUCCUCUUUAAUUUUGCUUAUAGUUAGGACUGGCUCAUGUUAGCCCGGACCAGCCCUUAGUUUAGCUGCUAUAGGCUUAGACUGCCGGAGGACUUCUUAGGACACACCGAGCUCCUCUCUCAGGCUCUCUUUCUACAAUAAUUCACGUUUUAUUAAUGCACAUAACUAGAUUGUAGUUCCUUCUGGACCCUGGUCCUGACACCUGCCGUGGCCCUGCUGACACCUGCUGCUGCCAUCAUCAUCAUUAUUAUUAUUAUAAAUAUUAAUCAUAUUACUGUACUCAUAAACCAACAUUACCCUCUCCUAAAGUCUUUGUGCUCCCCCCCCCCCAACAGGCUUCUGUGGAUGGUGGUUGCCCCUGCAGUGGUCCUGCUGUGCGCCUGGCUUACUACUCACAAUUAUUUGAAUCAUUUCUGUCAUAGGAAUUGCAUGCAUUAUACAUUGUUAAUUCUGUACACAUGGCAUCCAUUGUAGUCUGUCCAUCCCGGGAGUGGGAUCCCUCCUCUGACGUUCUCCCUAAGGUUUCUUCCCUUUUUUUUCCUUCUUGGAAGGGUUUUUUCAUUUUUUGGGGAGUUUUUCCUGUGCCGAUGUGUGGGUUUCGGGACAGAGGAUGUCGUAUGUGUACAGACUGUAAAGCCCUCUGAGGCAAAUUCGUAAUUUGCGAUUUUGGGCUAUACAAAAUAAAAUGAAUUGAAAUUGAAUUGAAUAGUCCCAAUUGUCAGGGAUGCGGGGAAGGCAGGACUCACACGCAAACUUUGAGCAACAAAAGAAGACUUUAAUAGUCCAAAUGUUCAAAAAUCAAAAGGCCAACGGGCAAAAACGCACACAGAAACAGAGGCAAAAGGGCAGGCAUGACCUAAGAACAUCCGGGACAAUAGACAAUGACGCGACAAGUGACAAGAGACACACACUGCUUAAAUACACUAGGGAGGUGCAGGUGAUUGGACACAGGUGUAAACAAUCCGACAAUCACAGGGGGAUGACAGGACCAGUUACACGGGGACACAAGUGGCAGAAAACUACAAAAUAAGACAGGAAGUGAACCACACCGUGACAGCCUCUCCCCUACACUGCCGCUGUAACAGCACGGCUUGUCUCUGGUGAGUCUGCUCGAUAGCGGUUUGUCGUAUCUUCGCUUUGCUUGGGCCCCUGCCUCGAACUGUGUAAGAAUCCUGUAAGAAAGGGUUCAACGUCUAGAAACAAAUUGAAAGUUUGGAUUGUUACUUUCCAAAUGUCACUGAAUUAGAGUAAAAUUUCCAAAUUACCUAGUUCAAUCAACUAGAGUUAUGGAAUUUGCCUCAAAAAAGUGUAGAGAAUACAUAAAAGCCAUAUCCUGGUCUUCAAGAUGCUUUUACACUACAUUGAGUCAACGUUGAGUUAUGCACACUCACAUUCAUAUACUGAUGGCACAGCCUUUGGGAUUAACGAAGAAUGAUUACUGGAGAUGCCUGUGAUCAAACCUUAUGAUCUUAUGAUUAGUGGGAGAGAUAUAGCUGGUUUGCUAUCUUUAGCAAACUUUAGUAGGGCUAGAGAAUAGAUUUACAUUUUUAAGCGAUUAAUGAAUAUUAGACUAAAUCUUGAAAGUAAUGAGUAAUUACAUUAGAAUGCAUGUAUUUUUGACAGUUCAAUUUUAAACACAACUGCACACAUUUUAUCAUCUUUGAGGCACAAUUCCACCUGGUGGAACAUGUUGAACUAGCAUCUCAUCUUGCUGUCCUUGUGCACUUUGCUCUCAACUCUCCAUGAUUUGACGGCUGUGUUUGAAGUGCCAACAAUCUCCCCACAUUUAGCCAGAACGUUUUCAAACCGCGGUCAUUUAGGGACACAGUGGUGGUCCUGAGCAGAGUAACAUAGCAGUACUUUAAGUGGUCCGUUUGCCACUCACCCCCCUUCUGUUUGACACAUGGAGUAAUUCCUUUGCAUGUUCACACCUCUUUUGUUUUACUUCCAAUGCAAAAAGCUCUCUCCAUCUUGAUGUAACUGACUGCAGCGAGCGGUCGUUUAGUUUCCGCGGUCAACUUCCGGGACCGUAAGUAAACAAACUAAAAUAUUAUAUUUUGUUGAAUUAAUCUAGUCCACAUUGAACACAUAGAUUAACACAUUUAUGUUGACAGCCCUAAUCUAGUUAUGGCAGUCAAGUUAUGAUUCACAAUUUAUUCAGAAUGUCUUCCUUGUUAACUUAAAAAUCACUUAUUUUUGGUUAACAAAACCGUCAUGUUACCCUGUCAGGUUCUGGUUAAUGUUGCUGACUAAGUGCCAGCAGGCCUGCCGGACCUCUGGUGGUAUUGCUGGUACUUAAUGUCCCUCUGAGUACUAACCUGCCGCUCCAUUCCCUCCACUCACACACACAGUUCUGUCAUUAUCAUCUCCACACACCCACAGCAGGCUCAACUCCAGGUAAUGCAUCCUUACCCCCUUUGCUCCAUGCUACCCUUUUAGAACCCUCUUCCCUGCUUUAAACAUUAAUGUCAGGUCUUUACCUCCUUUAUCUGAACAUAACACUGCCAAUUUCUUUCAGUUGGAGUCUAAACUUGACCAGUCUCUCAGCAAUCAUUACGUUCUCCUAAUCUGGUCUGUCCUUUUUUGUUCCUCUUCUUUCACCUUCUCAACUAAAUGUUCACUGGACUCUUAAUAGCCAUCCCUUAAGCAAAGUUAUUAUCACAGAAUCCUCUUUUUCCACAAGUUUGCAAAUGCUUCUCCACAGUAUAGAAGUUUCUCUUCUAUGGUGUCGCUACAAAUCCCCUCCCCCGUUAUGUUUUACGUGAGGUCCCAGCUGACCAUUCACAAACAACCUUUGUCCUUUGCAAAAGGUUACGCUGUGGGCCCCAGUUUAGAACUGUUUAACACACAGUUCAACUUAUCUUGCACGGGCCAAGUUUGAAGACUUGGGAGGGGAUGGGGCAAGCAAGGUUACAAUAUCGUUCAAUCGUUAGUGUUUGGCAAAUUUUAUGGAAAGUUUUAACAACCAAUCAAUUAGGAUCUUCCCAACCAGGUGCAGACCCCUAUGUAUUGUGCAGCACAUCCCGCUGCCUAGGUAUGCUACACUCACUUCAAUAUGCAGGAUAGAAGCGGCAGCGCCCCCAUUGUAGUGGGCUCCGCCUGCAAAAUUCUCUGCAGCCAAAUAUGCCUGAAUACACAGAGAAAGGGCGUUUACGGUUUGCUUCCUCAGGAGGCUGAUAGGUAACCGGAGGCAGUGACAGAAUAUUGGUGGCUGGCGCGGGAAACACAGCGGCGCUGAGACCUCCGGCUCGCGCUCAUCGCAGAGUAGAGUCAACCAACCGCUGCUGCCAAUGAAUUUUGGAAAUGAGCUUGGGAGGCCGUGCCGACUGCUGCCUGCAUGUUCAUUGCCAAGGCUGUUCAAAGGGAAGCAUUGGCGAGAUCCCCCCUGGGAAAAGGUUGCCAAGACGGGCCCUAACAGGAUACCUCAAUCAACUAAUCAAUCGGUUGAAAUAGGCAGUAAGUGGGCCAAUAGCAGAAAAGGAUAGCUCAGAGUGUGUGUAAACUUUUACGGCUAUCUUAUUUUUCUUCUCGGUCUCCUCUGCCUUUAAUGAUUUAAUGUCAUAGUAAACCGUAAAGAGACAAUAGCCUCUGGAUUUAAACAUGUGGGUCAACCAUCUUCAUUUCAAUGCAGAGCCAAAUACAUAUUCUGUAUACAGACCAAACUGUAAAUCAGUUAACGGGUGAGUAAUCUCACUCUUACCCUUACAUUAAGAAGCUUAUGGCUGCCGGAGACCUGUUGCCGGGACCCCGGAAUUCAGCAGCCUGUCUCCCGUCGCCGGAAUCCCGUGCCCGGUUCCUGACUGCUGUCCCGGCUGACUACCGGGGAUUCCCCGGCCACCCCCCAGAAGUUCCGCUGACUGCCCAACCUUCGUCCCCUGGUCCUGUCCCUCUCACCCCUCUGUUUGUUCUCUGCCUGUCCCACCCGCCCAUGUGUGCCGUCUGGGAUACGUGUUUCGUGUUAUUUUGUAGUUUCCUGCCUCUCGUCUGGUUUUGCUUCACUUUCUUUAAGCCAUGUGUGUCUUUUGUCCCUUGUCGAGUCAUUGAAUGUUGUACCACGUUUGAGGUCCUGGUCCCCGUCUAUGUUGGCCGUUUGCCCCUAGGUACUUUGAAUUUGGAAUUGAGAAUAAUGUACUUUUUGGUUGCAAAUCUGCGAUUGAGUCCUGCCUCCCCUGACAUGACAAGCGGUACUAGAAGAUUUUCACGGUGGCGUUAUCAUUUCACCAUCUUGGAAGAACAUUUUGUGUUUAAUGAUGGAGUGACUUACUCGAAAUGAUGCUUCACGGCAUGCUCUCAUACUCAUGAUAUAAAGUUUAAUAACUGUAAACUUUGUAGGCAUGUGACGCAUGUAAACUUUUUUUGGGGGGGAUUUUCCCGUUCAUUUUUUAAUGCUUUAAAAUAACCAACUGCUCCUAAAAGAAUAUCAGAUAGACUUCAAAUUUGGUCAGUACAAUAUAAAAGCCUCAGUGAUUAAGUUAUACAAGUCUGCCACUAUGCUACAAAGUUGUUGGGAGCCUGAAAUGCCGAAUUUGUGAUAACCCAAUUAAGACUGGCAUAUCGGGUACAGCUGUCGUUCCAUAAGCAAAAGGCUGCCGGAUCGGCUCUUAGUUUGGCAUGUCUUUUUUGUGCUACUGCAUAUAUGUACUGAAACAGUUUUCCAUUUAAAUGUAUUCACUUUUGCGUGAAGCAGAACAAAUCUAGAUUGGUUUUAGUGGGGGCUUGACGGGAGAGUCACGACUUUUAUCAUAGCACGCCCAAAGGGUGAAAGCCCCAACUGCAAUGUGAACCAAAACCGAUUUGGUGCUCCUGUGCUUGAAUGUACCUAAUUGAGAUAAUAUGAAGACAUUAGGCAUCAAAUUGGCCCUUUCUAUGUAAAUGAGCCUCAUCACAGUCAGUCCAAUUCGCAAAGAGAUGCAGCGACAUAUAUAAGGCCUUUCACGCCCCGAGACCUUCCUUUGGAUUGUACCCUUGUAAGGGAAUCGCCAUUAUUUGCUACAAGAGAUUUAUUUUGUAAUGCAAUGACAGUUGUGUCAUGAAAAAUUAAAAAAGUACAUUGGUAUUUCAUCCCGUUGUUAUUCAAGAAAGUGUUCUUUCAAUUUGAGUGAAUGACUCGUGUAUUUCACUCCAGAUUUUGUCAUGAUUUUCCCUCAACAUGUCCACAUAUGCACGCACCUGUCGGGGCGGAACGGCCGUGCACAGUGAGAGUGGACGUAAAAAAACAACGGACUUUCUUGGAUGCAGGUGUGGCGCUUGGGGGGGGGGGGGGGAGGCACAGUGCCCCCCUUUUCCAAUGGUAUGCUGGUUUACAGCUACAGAAAUGACAAGCAUCAGACAUUAAUCCAUCCAUCCAUCCGUCGUCAAACCGCUUAUCCUGCACACAGGGUCGCGGGGGGGCUCGAGUCCAUCCCAGUCAACUUUGGGUACAAUCGCAGGGCUAACACAAAGACACACAACCAUUCACACAUCUCAGACAUUAAUGUAAAACAAUAUUGCUAUAAUGAAAUAAAAUAUUUUUCUGUAAUAGAUUUAAAAUGAAAACUGACAGAACAGGGAAUAUAACUAGUGUAAAUUAUGCAAAAUGCUAUCAUUCAUGGUGUCAGUAGUGGCUGCAAUCAGUUUGUUUUAAAUUUGCCCCUCUGUGUGAUAAUUUUGUAGAGGACUUGCUGUGGAAAACAAAUCUGUCUAAAGACCACUCUGCAGUGUUUGCAGUUGGCUUCAUUUUGUUAUAGAUGGGGAACAUCUGUUUUUUUUGUCUCCAUUAUUACUUUUGCUUAAAUAUAUUUUAGUAACAGCUGCUCCCCAAAUCAGUUUGGUUUUUCAAACCGUAUUUGACAGCCUGAAAAAGGCCCGAAAUGACAAACCUAGAUAACGAAAGAGAAUACGUACACGGCCUGACGUUGUGGAGUAGCUUGCGCUUUCUGAUGAAAAUACCUUGUGGUUUUAAUGGAUUUAACAUGUUUCUGGAUAAGAUUUCUACAUGCUCAAUACAUACAAACUCCCUCUUAAUCUCCUAAGGGACAGAUCACUGUUCGCAGAGUUUCCAAUGUUUGAUGUGACAAUCAAGCUAUUUUAACAUUAAGGUGUCACAUGUUUUCUAAAUAAAGCACACAGCUUUUAUGCACCAAUCUAAACGAUGGUCCAUUUUCUCAUUUCUGCUGCUGUAAAGAGUUGUGUGUUAGAAGAGAAAAUGGACCAUUGUUUAGAUUGGUGCACAAUCCGCUCGGUCCAACCUAUGCGGUUGUUAGAGGACCAUCCCCGGGCGAAGACUGGAUUACAGUUCUUUCUGAUGGCUUAGGCACAUUUUUUUUGUAACUGCAAUUUUUGCAAAUCUCUACACACCAAAUCAGCAAAAGCUAAUAAACCUCGCUUAACUCUUCAAACAGUUAACACAAGCCAUCACAUUUAUUAGCACACAAUGCGCACUACACGCCGAUGGCAUGAAUAAAGAACAUCUGGCUUAUGCUUUCGAUGCGCACAAGGUAGGCUCUAUCAGUUUGAGGUCAUUCUUUUGUCAUAGUUCUGUUAACGUACAGGGAUCCAAACUUAUGCUAUUGGUGUUUAUUUACACAAAUCCAAACACAAAAUAGUAAUUUCACUGAGAAGAAUAAUUAAAAAAUCAGUCUACAUUGUGUCGUCUCUCUGGGUCCGGCCCCAAAAUUUCGUCUACAUCACAUGCAAUGUCCUCUAGUCCAAGGCACUGGGGAAUCUAUCUUCUGGAAUGCCGUAUCCAGCCCUGACAUGAUGCCUGGUCAAUAUUCCCACAUGCCUCCUCCAUUGCCUGUAAAAGGGCUACGCGUUGAUGGGGAUGACGGUCAUAGACCUUCCAGCACACGUUGAUAAUCGAACAACAAGGACUAUUUAUUGCCAUGUUGGGGAAAAAAGUUUGAAUGGCUGUUUUCAUUGUGUGGGGUCAGACAAUCUUGGGGCCCACAGUAUUGCAGGCUCUGCAAAAAAUAAUCCAUGGAGAUUGAAACAAAAAAGAUGACGUGCAGAGUGUGCACUCUGAGUCUAAAACUCUAAAUAAAACAUUUAAAAACAUGUUUUUAAAAGCUUGACUUUUAUAGGAACUCCCUGAGACUCUCACCCCCAUGAGUGUCACAGUGCUGUAUUUUGGGAACCCACUGGGCUUGAUUUUUUUAGAAACCGCUCAGUUCCUCAUUAUGAAGUCCACCUGGGUGCUGAAUCCGCCGAAUAAACAUCCCGGGAUAACAAGUCCGGGACAAUACUAUAAUCUAAUGGAGCAGACUGAUUCAUGCAGAGUGUAAAAGCAGAUCGAACAAGCACUUCCAGAAACUUUUUUUGAAGGACACAGUCAAAGACAAAUUAGACUGCAGAGGAAAGUCAGGGAACGCCUCUUCCUAUUAGUGCCUUCAUUUAUUUCAUGAAAAUGCAGGGACGACAUAAGAUGUGCUUGUCAAGCGUAAGGAAGUCGCCUCCCAACUAAUGAAGUCACAAGCUCUGGUCUACUGGGCUUCCUAUCUUUAACUCAAGCAUAACUGGUUUGUCUGUCCUGCAUGAGGGACAUUCUGAAUGUGUGUGUCUUUUAAAUUACUGACAUUAAUUGAAGGCUUUUUUCUAGAAUACUUCUAAGACCUCACUAUUAUGCCGACAGCUGGCAAAACAUGGAUAAGGACAGACGUUUCCUUAAUGAGUUGUGGAAUCUUUCAAAUUAAACUUAAAACCAUAUCCAAAUAAGAGGAGCAAAAGUCUCCUCCUCUUAAAGCCCUUUUGAAAAUGUGACAUUUCACCCACAUAAAUAAUCAUAACUAAAUAAGCAUCAAUCCCUUUAAAAGUUUGUGAAAAAGAUUGUUUGAGACAAUUUGUCAAUAACGCGAGUAAGGAACCGGCCAGAAGACAAGGGACACGCAUGGUUUAAAUGCACCGGGAAGGUACAGCUGCUUGGACAGAGGAGAAAACAAUCAGGGACACGGCAGACAAUCCCAGAGGGGGAGAAACACACCAGAGCAGCAAGUGAAAACAACCUAGCGACACGAGAGUCGAAUAAAACAGGAAAUAAUGUCACACCGUGAAGGAAUCUCAACCGGACAGUGGGUGUGGUUUGAUAACUAAAGUACUUUUGAUAAACCUACCAUAAUUAAUUAUAUCGUAUUUUGAGGGUUGAGCAUUAGCUAAGGAGUCUCUCGGACUCACAGAUAAACACUUGCAUCAGACCUUGAGACUGGCUACCACUAGACUGCAACCAGACAUUGAACUUCUCACCAGCCAGAAGCAAGCACACAGUUCACACUGAUACGGUAAGCACACUGAUUUUAAUUGCUAUAAAUAUGAAAUAUGAAGGCUCUUUUAAUUUGCUACAUAUUUUGUAAAAUUAUAUCACAGAGAAAAGCAGACAGCAGCACAUCAUGCCAUUUACUGAAUAUCGCAGGGUUUGUUCAGUUCACUUCCGAUUUACUCACUUGUUGCGAUGUUGCCUGAGGCGAAGUCGGUGCUGACAGUGUUGGGCAAGUUACUUAGAAAAUGUAAUUGUACUGUCAAUCACCUCAACUAGGCAGAUGUUUCUUACCUUGACAGCUUUGAUGUUAUUUUUGUUUGAAAAUAAAUAAAUGGAAUAUCUGUGAUAUUUCAAAUUAAAACAAAGUGUGAAGACUCGAUUAAUACUUUUGCAAACCACUAGUAAAGCUAAACAAAUAUGUGCCAGGAAUCAAGUGUUGAUAUAGUAGUGUGGAUAUAGUAGUGGGGAUGGCUGUGCCAGGCUAGUAAUCUCUACUACACAAUGAGGCCUGCUGGUGGUCAUUUUGAUCUGGGUCAUACAAUUCUAUGUUAUGUAGCUGACCCGGCCCCGGCCCCUCAUCACAGUCAGGAACGAUAAUGUGGCCCCCAGAGAAAAAAGUUUGGUGACCCCCUGCUCAUGAUUCUUCUCACGUGUUCACUUAGACUUGGGCUGUAUUCAAAGUUGCAGUACAUAAUAAUUCCAGAAUAUAUCAGUUUGUCAACCUUGCCUAUUGUAUCCCAUAAUGCAACGCGCUGGAAGAGUCGAUGGUCACAAUAAUCAUGAUCCGAAGCUAUUUAUGUAUGCUAUUUCACAACAUAAGUCAAGCCGUGAUGCAGUUGGUGAGGAUCAUCGAUGGUGCAAUGGUGGAAGUUCACUAGGAUCUGAGGGGACACAUGAGCCUUCUUCAGUCUCCUCAGGAAGAAGUGGUGCUGGUGAGCCUUCUUGGGUUGAGAGUCCAAGAGAGGUCCUCUGAGAUGUGGAACUUGAAGCUAGCAAUACGCUUAACCUCUGUCCCACUGAUUCAGAUGGCGGAGUGUGCGCCACCAUGGCUUUCUUGAAGUCCACAAUGAGCACCUUGGUCUUCUUGGUGUUGAGUGCCAGGAUGUUAUUGACGCACCACUCAUCAUCAAUAAACGAAGGAACGUUGGACACAGGGGUUUUUACAGUCUCUUUUGCGAGAGGCAGAAGGGGAAAAGACGUUGGCGUUCUCCAUGACGAGGUCAGCGUCUUCCACACUGCCAAGAAAUAUGACCGCAGCCCCGUUCACUUCACGUUGCUGUGGCCGACCAUCUCCCCCACUGCCAGGCUGCAGUCCUCCACCGAGCACACAAGCUGAUCGGCUGCAAAAUACACACUACAGGAAAACGAACACCCCAAAUACGUCACACUUAUCAACUACAACACUUAUCAACAUUUAACAGUCAAUCAAUAAACAUAAAAGACGCUAUAUCGCUCUCAGCUCCACGCUCAACACUCCUCCACUCAGAGACUUGGGAGGGGAUUUUUCAAAAAACACUGUUUGAAAUUGGAAAAAUUAUAAAUAUGUAAAGUGCAGAUGUGCUAAAAAUCACAGGUUGCCUUGUUCUGUUUUAUAAUAUACACAAUUUAUGCCAUAAAAACUGGAGCAAAUCAUCAUUAAAACACCAACCUUAUUUGAAAGCGUCUACGUCUCCAAUGCGUUUAGAAAAACGGAACUCUCCCACAUGGAAAGAACCUAUAUGUGGAUAUAUGCACAUAUAGGAAACCUAUAUGCAGUAUAUACUGCAUAUAUGCGAAUCUAUGAAACCUAUAUGCAGUUUACAUGCUGCAUAUAUGCACAUAUGUGCUGCAUAUAUGCCACAUAAAGACUAAAUUGUGGUGCCUAUAUGUGCAUAUACAGACCAUAUAGGUCUCCUGUAUUACUUAUAUCCACAUAUAAGCCCUAUGUACAUACAAAAUAUGUCUUAUACAGCUCAUGGCAGGAUCUGGUCAUUAUGUAGCUCAUAUCUCACUGUCAUACUGUCAUACAUGAUGCCUAGCUCAUAUUAUUAUCAAAGCAUUAAUUAAGAACUAAGUAAAAUAAAAAUUCUGAAAGAACUUGUGUAAAUGAAAACACGUGAAAUUAGUAUCACGUGUAUAUGUGAUGUUAUGGAAUUUAACUAUGGCAAUUAAGUGAGAGGAGAUGGAAAGCUCUGAUGGCUACACAUUUUCAAAUCUUUCUUGUAUGAAGAUAGUGGUAAAGAAGAAAAUGUGUUUUUAUUUUAUUUUGUCAAUCAAGCCUUUUUUUUCAGUUAUUCACAUUGCAGCUCAUACACAUCCACACAUUCACAUUAAUGCAGUUUCUAAAUGAAUAUGGCUGAAAGGUCAUUAGUCUAAAUGUAGCAAAAAAAAAGAUUCAUCAUCAUCAUCCCAUAUCUAUCUGAGCAUUUCACUGUGGUUAAUUAAUUUGAACACAAUGUCAACAUUUCCGUACACGGUUUUAACGAACAGACACUUUUCUUUCCAAAAAGAAGAGCAUGCGAGAAGAGAGGAGAUGAGAAAAGAGAAAGAAAGAGAGAGGGAGGCAUAGAGAGAGCGGGAGACAGGAGGGAGGGAUACAGUUAGAGGGAGGUAGGGACACACAGACAGAUAAGGAGACAGAAGCAUUCCCGCUAUGCCACAUAUGUUUACAUGAUACCUGUAGCUGGUAGCUUUGUAGCUAGCUUCUAGCAUGUUACUUUCGUUUACGUCUUCGCUUAGUUCUUUCUGGAACGGGUGCUUCGUCGUUGACGAGGUACCUUUUGUAACGUACUGGAUCCAUUAUUUUUCUUUAUUUGUUGCUUAUUUACCACAGACCGUAAAGCAUAAUGGCAAGCAUGUAUCCACUCUGCUCUGAUCGGCCGCUACAGCGUCGCGUGCGAAUGACGUCAUCAAUCGCGCUGGGCCGCUUGUUGAUGACGUCAUUCCCAUGCAGGCGCGAUCGCGCCGAAAGAUAACGGCUGGGACGAAGUAUAAAGUAUUAAAAAUGGAGACAUCAGCGUUCCGCUAUGUCCUACUUGAAUGGACUGAGGGUGAGGAUAGUGGGGCGCACAGUAUUUUGACGAUGGACUGUGUCCGGAACUUUUCAGUUCAAGAUUUUUUUGCCUCGACUGAACAACACAAGAAGCUGGUGGAAUGGCGAAAAAGCCGCCAACCCUGGCCGGUUCACCGAGCCAAAAUUAUUGACGUGGCAAGUAAGUUAUGUUACAUUUCUAUUAUGUAUAUCACAUUAAAUUUUGCUCGCACUAAAAGAAGUGAAAAAUGGAUCUUGUUACCUGACUAGCUUAGUAUGCUGGCUGUUAGGUAGCAUUAGCAAAUUAGGUAGCUAAGUCUCUUAAUUGGGACUAAUGCUACGUUUGGUAACGUUAAACAUGAUUAGACAAACGUUUGCAGUAAACAUUUCAAUUUUAUUGCACCAGAAUUUGAAAAACCUCCAAAUUAAACUGCGUGAGAUCGAGGUGGAGAAAGAGGGCACACAAACAAAACGUCCUCACAUCCCAAACUCAAAGUACAUUGAGCAGCAGGGGAAGACUGAGAAGGCUUUAAAAAAAAGGUAACUGACUGCACCAAUUGGUGCUUUAGUUCAAGUUAUCUCCCCUCUCUUGUUUCUUAAUGUGUAGGCAUGUUUGUAGGUUUGUAAUUGUGUCAUCUAUGAUGAUUUAAUGUGCUUUGACAAGAUAUAUGUGCAAGCUGGUGUAACGCAAGUUAAUAAGAGUUGGGCUAAAAGUCAGUCUGUGUCUUUCUGUCGGUUGACAAUAAAAAGGGAGGGUCUUCCAAAUACAAGCACCAGGAGGGUGAGAAGCAGGAGGAGGGUCAUGACAGACUUUCAAAGAACAAGGUACACUACCAGUCGUCCUGUGUGUGCUGUUACAUUACAAUACAUUCAUGGUUCCUCUGUUUCUCCCUCCAAAGGUUGCCGUGAAAAAGAAAAAUCUUUCUAAAUACGAGGAGGAGGAGGGAGAAGUGGAUGAUGAGGCGCGUCAUGACACAAAGAACAAGGUACACUACCAGUCUGCAUCCAGUGUGUGUUAUUACAUUGCAAUACAGUAAAGAUAAGUAAGACUUUUAUAAUAAAGUGCAUUACCAGUAGCUGUUACAAGGUAUGACACCAGCACAGUAGGCAACUUUGUCCUCUCUCUUUCUCUAUCCCUCCCAGCGGGCCAGAGAAGAGGAGGAGCAUAUUGGGGAUGAAGACGACAAAGUACCAGCCUCAAAGAAAAAGGUAGCCUAAAUGAUGACAUCCGAUGUGUGGUGUAUGUUUGCUAGACAACCAGUUACAUAUAGCCAAGUGGGGGGAUUUCUGCCGUAGACUUCUUGCCACCUUCCUCUUACAUUUCUUAUAACAUCCUCCCAGAAAAUCAGAAUCAACCAUUUACAAAAAAAGUUAUAUAACAAUUAGCUGUUGUUCUUCUCUGUAUUUCUCUUUCUCAUAGAGCGCUGCUGAAUUUAGAAAGCAACUGGACGAACAGAUGUGGGAGAGAAAAAAAAUUGAACAAAUGCAAAGAAAUUUGCAGGAGUUGCGAAAUGAAGUUCAGUCUCUCAAAAGUGAAAAUGCACAUCUGAAAGAUGUUCUGGAAUGGGAAGCAACCUGAAUGGUUCAAAAACGUGAUGUGUGUGUAUAUAUAAAAAGCAUCGUCCGGACCCUGAAAGCACCGUCUCCACCUAACUGUCAAAAAGAAAAACAGCGAGCGCGUAGAAAACUCCUUCCAGCGCGAGCAGAGAUUCUCCUCGCGAGCAACAAAGUUCACGUUUCGCAAGCGAGCAAAUACCUCGCAGAGACGAACUUUUGAUCGCGCGAGACAGACUUUUGCUCGCGGAUGUUUGACUUUGGUUAAAUUCUUAAGGUCAUUUAAUCAUUAUGUUUUGAUCAGAGUUGUGAUUAAAGGUUUGGGUGGGCCGCGAAAGAUUUUCAGAUUUCAAAUUGGGCUGCGGCAAUCUUGAGUUUGGGAAACGCUGGUCUAUGGAAAAGAGAACUAUGACCGGGUACUUUAACAUUAACAAAUGUAUGUAUCUUUAAGAUAACUAGGGUGUAAUUUGGAUAGGGGGUGGAUGUAGUGAUCAAUAUAUUCGGUGAUGUUGAAGGGCUCGGAACCGCAAUCGCUGACUAUAGGGCGGCCAGAACAACAAAGGGAACCGUCCAGGUCCCAGGAGUCUUAUGGAUUUUAGGGAGCAGAUAGAAGAGGCGGGGUUUGGGUUCAUCCGGGCCGUCCAAGUAUUGUUUUUGGUUAGGAUGGGAAUAAGGCUCUGGAGAGGGCUCUGGGGCAGAGUCAGAGACAGCGCCGUGGUCCGAGUGGGAUCCCCCACUUCACCAAUGAGGUCUGAGAACGCUUGCCGGUUGGCUUCUGUUGGUGAAACCUGAGCUCCUCUAUUCAACGGCUUUAUAAAACUAGAAAUGGAGCAGCUCGGUACAGGUACAACAUACCUGUUGUGUCAAACUCCCACACCCAGUCAUUCAUCCUCUGCUUGGAUCAGCGCCUCUUAUCCCGAUCCUGCCAUGCAAAGUACUUUAAAAUAUGCAACCAGUAUAUAUGAAAAAUCAACAGAAGCAUAUUUACCCAAUCAAAGAAAUGGAGAUUUCCCCACACUAUGUGGGUCCAGCAACACUCUGGCCACCCAACAGGAGACUGGCAUUCCCUGGAAAAGUGCCACUUUCCCUUUGAUAGGAGCACAGCCUUGAAUUCAGAGCGCCACCCCAUGGUGCCACCUGCUACACAUGGCAUAAACCGGUCCGGACUAUGCCCUUCACACAGUUAAAAUACAGUCUUCUUAUCUGCUUCAUGCUAUGUUCCCUCAGCAGUGCCCCCCAUCAGACCAGGGGUACCACUGCUGCUGAUGUCCCUCUUCGCUCUGUGAAUGUAAAAGGGUGUAAAAACACCCUAAUAAAACGGAGCAGCACAUUUAACUUUAAAACAUUAGAAUAAAUUAAAAACAGCAGUAUACAGUCCCAGGUUGUUUGCACGUCUCUCCAUACAAAACCAUCCGGAGCUCUAUGCUGAGGAACUCGUCAGUAAUGAACAGAGGGACAUCUGACAAUACUAUUUUUGUUGCUGGUUGUGAAAAUGCAACACCUGAACAAACAAUUAAUUCACCGUGCAACAUGUGCAGCAUCAUCGGGAAAUGAUCUUCCAGGCGGCUCACUAUAACCCGAUGGCUGGCCACAUGGGAUACGAAAAAACGCUAGACCAGAUAAUGACCCGAUUUUAUUGGCCAGGCAUCCGGCGGGACGUGCGCUGCGCUUCCUGCCCGGAGUGUCAGUUAGUGAACGCUCCGGCCGUUCCGAGGGCGCCGCUGCGUCCUCUGCCGUUGGUGGAGGUUCCGUUCGAGCGGAUCGGCAUGGACCUCAUCAGGCCGUUUCACCGGAGCGCACGCGGAUAUCGCUUUGUGUUAGUCCUCAUGGAUUACGCAACGCGAUAUCUGGAGGCAGUGCCAUUGCGCAAUAUCUCUGCAAAGAGUGUCGCGCAGGCUCUGUUUCAGGUCAUCUCCCGAGUUGGAAUCCCUAAAGAGAUUCUGACUGACCAGGGCACCUCGUUCAUGUCGCGCACACAGAGAACUUUACGGGUUACUGGGCAUUAAGUCCAUUCGUACUAGCGUGUAUCACCCGCAGACGGAUGGGCUGGUGGAACGUAUGAAUAAGACUCUGAAGUCCAUGAUCCGUAAAUUUAUUAGCGAAGAUGAACGUAAUUGGGACCACUGGCUUGACCCUCUGUUGUUUGCAGUGCGGGAGGUCCCCCAGGCCUCCACGGGAUUUUCUCCCUUUGAACUUUUGUUUGGCAGGACGCCACGAGGGGUGCUGGACCUUAUUAAAGAAAGCUGGGAGGAAGGUCCAAGCCCCUGCAAGAAUGAGAUCCAGUACGUCCUGGACCUGCGAGCGAAACUCCACACACUGGGCCGGAUGUCAAGAGAGAAUUUGCUGCAGGCCCAGGAGCGACAACAAGGGCUGUACGACAGAGGGGCCAGGCUGCGACGAUUUACACCGGGAGAAAAGGUACUUGUAUUACUUCCUUCUUCCAACUCUAAACUCCUAGCCAAGUGGCAAGGGCCCUUUGAUGUCACACGGCAGGUGGGGGACGUCGACUACGAGGUGGUGCGGUCUUGACAGGGGCGGGGGUAUACAGAUAUACCACCUGCACCCCCUGAAAGCCUGGAGGGGGGUGGAUUCUGUCUCUCUGGUCUCUACGGUAUCAGAAAGGGAGGAGCUGGGGCCGGAGGUUCCAAAAGCAGGUAAUCAUACCUCGCUCCCUCGAGAGGCUCAUCUCUCCGAAAGCCAGAGGGCGGAUGUUGCCAGAUUGCAGGAGCGGUUUGCUAAUGUGCUCUCUCCCUUGCCAGGCCGGACCGACCUCAUAGUACACAGUUUCGAGACGCCCCCGGAUGUGACGGUGAGGUCACGAUCCUACAGGUUGCCCGAACACAAGAAAGAAGUGCUUCGGAGGGAAUUGGCGAGUAUGUUGGAGUUGGGGGUAAUAGAAGAGUCCAACAGUGCCUGGUGCAGCCCCAUCGUCCUUGUGGCAAAGAAGGAUGGAUCUGUACGGUUCUGCGUGGACUAUCGCAGGGUGACUGACGUGUCACGGUUCGAUGCCUACCCAAUGCCCCGGGUCGACGAGCUCCUGGACCGGCCAAGCACUGCACGUUUCUUCACGACACUGGAUUUAACCAAGGGCUACUGGCAGAUUCCUCUGUCACCAGAGUCCAAGUAGAAAUCGGCAUUCUCCACCCCGUACGGUUUGUACCACACUUCCCUUCAGGUUGUUUGGGACCCCGGCCACGUUUCAGCGCCUCAUGGAUCGGGUGCAUUCUACCUGAAUGGAGAAUGGUUUAACGUGCUCUCACAGACCUUUGAUCAAAGGAGCAUUGUGUGUUACCCUCAUCUUCACCUGAGUUCUUAUCUCAACCUGAUUUAUGGCUUCUCGUAACUGGCACUGAGGAUGGUCUUCAUGUGUAUAAAAACUCGUUUUUGCUGCUCGGAGACACCAUUACACAGAACGCUGGAAUAUGUGCUGGUGUGUUUGACCUCCUCCUUGCAAGCAACAGUUAGAGACUGAUAUCUGCGGAAAAUUGCUCAUGUAAUCUUUUUCUCUUCUAAAUAAAUGUUAACUUUGUGACUUUAAUUGAUUAACGUGCUGCGAUCCUUCUCAUCAACCAACUCGGGGGGGAUUGGAGAUCCCGACACUCUAAGAUCAAUGAGAGGGAUACCUUGUUCACGAGCCCAGGCCUCAUCCACAAAACUUCCUUCGGCACCAGAGUUAAUCAAAGCCAGGCAGGAGAUGGCGGAGCCCAGCCACCGUAGAUGGAAGGAAAAGGUAGUGCAGGUGCGUGACAGGGGCGUCUAAGGAGGAUGCACUCACUAGUAACCCCCUCUCUACUGGUGAACUCUGGCUUUUACCGGGCAGGCUGAGAAGAAAUGGGAAGGUGAUCGACAGUAUAUACAAAGACGUCCGGUGAUGCAGCGUUGGCGUUCCGCAGCGGAGAUCCGUAACCCUCCUAGCUGCAUGGGCUCCGAAUCAGCGCUGGCGGAGGGUGACGGAGAGGAAGGCGCAGAGGGAAGUGACCCCUUCAGGUUGCAGGCUCUGCGGCGUAGUUCGAAGUGCUUCUCGACGCAGAUCACCAUGUCAAUGGGGGGGGUCAAGUCGAGAAGGAAUCUCGCGGGCUAAAACCUCAUCCUUAAUCUCUGCAUUCAAUCCCUCCAGAAAUUGUGCCACCAGAGCGGGUUCGUUCCAGUCGCAGGAAGUCGCUAACGUGUGAAAUUCAAGUUGGCGGUCAAUCUCUUUCCCCGACAAAGAGGAGUCGAGAGGCUUCAGCCCCGUGUGCGGAAUGGUCGAAAACUCUUGACAUCUCCUCCUUGAAGAGCACAUAACGGUCGAGGCAGUCGACGUCCGAACUCCAGACAGCAGUUCCCACUCACGCGCCCGGCCGGUGAGAAGAGAGACCACGAAGGCGAUGCGGGAUCGGUCACUGGCGUACCUCGAGGGCUGAAGUGAAAAAACUUCCGACAUUCUGUCGGCUCACCCGCAUAGCAUGGAGGAUUGUUCACUCUGGGUUCCGGCGCGUCGAGGUUCCGGGCCGAGGGGGGGAUCACGAACACAAAGGUGAAGAAGCUGCUGAGACAAGUUGGUCACCUGAGCCGCGAGAGAUUCAACAGCCUGAUGAGUGGCGGCUAGCUCACCCUCAUGACUUCCCAGCAUAGUUUCCUGUAGCUCGAGGGCAGACUGGAACUGGUUCUCCCUUGCUGGAACCAUGGUGGCCAGAGUAUUCUGUCGUGUUUGUGAAGGAGAGAGGACCCAAACGCAAGGGAAGCUAACGUCUGUUUUAAUCAACUUAGAAUGUCCAAGGCAAAAAAUGGAACUAAGGUAGCCAGUCUUUGGAACACAGACCAACAUUAGAUCUUCUCAUCCUUUGACCUCUUUUUACCUCAGUUUACAUUCAGGAUUAAAGUGUGACAAAUAAUGAUUAUAUAUAAAGAAACCAAAAGUCCAGCAUUAAAUACAUCUGUAAUAACCUACGUAAACACAGUUAAAUAUAAGUAAAUCUAUGGUUUAAAUACAUGUAUUCGCACGUUUACUCUGCGUCUCCUUGAACUGUCUCUGUUCUGCCUUCACUGACACAAUGCGUGGAAAAUAAAUAUCUGAUUCAAGAGCAACGAGUGUGCGUUGUUCAACUAUUGCUAACUUGUGCUGACACAUCCCGUUGGACCAGGAUUAAUUAUUUAUAUCCAUUAAUUAACUUUUAACCGCUGUCAUUGCAGACGGAUUUCUAGCAUACACAGGUUCCAUUGCGUUGACUCUUACUAUGAAAAUCGACAUACUUCCGGUUUAGUGGCUGCUCUUCGUAUUUUUAUUUUAUGGGCAAAACCCCAAAAGGGAUUAACGGAGUAAAAAAUGGUCAGUUUGUCUCGUUUUUUGGUUCUAAAGGAAAAACAAGUAAACGACUGUCCACUUCCGCUUUACUGUUUUUGAUUAAAAACAAAAAACGUCAAACAAGAAAAGUGUUAAAAGUGUCUUUCAAAAAGGUACACAGACCUGUCUUUAGACGCCGAUCAGCCAGAUACCAGCAGAAGGAAAAAACAACAACAACGGCUAAACCCCAAACUAAGGUGAAAACCAACCAAUAAACCACAUUAAAUGAAUGUGUAUAACUAAGGGAAAAUACAAAAGAAAACGGAGAUCAUUGUUUUAAAAUCAUUAGCUGUAAAAUGUACUACAUUAUGGAGUAGUGUUCUCUUAAGUUAUUAGAUCUCAGCGUGCACAAUCUGCUACACACAAUGGGAACACACACUCACUCACACACAAGCACAUACACUUCAACAGGGCACAUUCUGUUCUGUUCUCCAUCCUCUAUUAAUCGAGCAGCUGCAGACACAAAACACUCCUUUACUUUACGUCCUACACGCACUCUCUCUCUCCCCUCUGUCCUCCUCCCUCUGGAGCACUGGUCUAAGCUGCAGAGCUCUAGGUUGUUAACACCUGCAAAGUAUUUUUUGGAGAAGCACUUGGAACUUCAGUGAAGGGAUGGAUGAAUAAGGAAAACGAAAUGAAAGCAGGGAUAGUGGGAGUUGCAGAUUCAUCAAUGGGCCUGAGAGUGUGCUCGCCACCUGCUCCACCAUGGUUGCUGCCAGAAUCUGAUGUAGACAUUCUUCUAUUAGACUGGAUCAACAAGGGUGUAGGAGAUCCAUUGACUUUAGUUAAGGAUCAUCUUAAAAGGAAAACAGGCAGAUUUACACGGAUGGAAAGCACAUGUCCAAUGUAUCAGUCUUCACUCCAGAGUCUCUGGCCUUAGCUGUGGCCACUUGGGUGGGGAGAAAAAGUCUCCAUCCUUUGGUCUAAUUAAUAGUGGUUAUUACAGCCAUCCAUGCGCUUGCCCGCCUUUACCAUUUGACAAUUUGUAUAGCUAUUGUAUUUUUUACCCCCUGUGCUGGUAAUACAACCAUUAUCAUUUUGUCUUCUCUGCUGUUUGACAGUUGUUACAGUCGUCUCUAUUUUUCUUACCUUAAUAUCCUCCCCCACUUCCCAUGUUGUUCCUGUGUUCACUUGUGCAUUUACAUGGUGGUGACAGCAGGUAUACGUAUGUAGCCUGAUUAAAAUUAUGACAGGACACUAAGAUAAAUUUAUUUCUCUUUAAUGUGGGUUCUUUAUUUCCCCCGACUGCACUCCUGGAGCACAGCCUUAAUGUGUCAAAUUAAGGAGGCACUUGGAACAGUGUACAAAUAACCAAUUGCUUCGCUUCACUAACUAACAGGAUGUCAUGGAAUAGAGCUACAAUUACCUUAAGCUAGAAAUUACAUGAAGCUAACAGUUACAUAAAAAACAACAGUAGUGAAACAAAAAAACAUGCACAUCAUGCUGUUCAAAUCCCACACCAUUGUUGUUCCUCCAAAAAGUCCCGAAAACAAUAAACUCACUCAAGCGCCGGCACGCACGGCUCCGUGCACGUGCAACCUCAACCCACAGCAGCUUGUUACUCCCCUCUAAACGAAGCAGAGGUGCAUAACCCAAGAACAUACACUCAGUAACAGUCAAUCAAUCACAAUUUACAUGGUGAGUCAGGUUUAUUAAUGUGAGAACACUUACGCUGACCCGCUGAACAGGUAUUUCCCUAGCGCUGUUCCGAUGCUAAACGCUAACACUGUGUUGUCGUCAGUAGCCGCCAGAUCCCGUUCUGCAACUCCAGUGAACUUAUGCCAAUGUACUUAAAGUGACAGUACGCCCUCAGCCUGUAAUGCGGACCAUCUAGCAGUCCAAAAACCUUCCUGCCCCCACUUCACCCGGCUACAUUUAUAACAACAAAACACCGGUAAAACAGUGGUAGAACACUUUUAAGACACUCGUAAAACGUUGUCAUUUCUCUGUAACUUUCUGCUGCAGCUCUCCUGCUGCGCUCACUUCCACCCCUCCCUCACAAGCUCUCGCGCCCUGUUUUAUUGAUUGCCAUAAUAUCUAGAAAGCGGCAUUUCUCAGCUUUCAGAAUCCAAUUGUGCAAAUAGUUUUCGAAUCCUCCAUGUCAAUUUCCGUCGCCGGCGAAAGGCUUCGGAUUAAGAGGGUUAAAAGACAGACAGUGCGGCUGUCCAAUCAGAAGGGUCCGUCCUCUGCUAUCUGCUAUAAGGCCCUACCCUUUCCGUAAGAGGUUAAUUUUGUUGUCCGUUCCUAUUUGUCGUUGUGUUUUGCACUUCAGGGCCACCGUAGGUUAGCCAACCACUGGCCUUGAUAGAACCCCCCCCAAAACAUACGGAUUGAGCGGCAUCUGUGAAUAGUUGCAGUGAAUCGGAGGAAUUCACAAUGUCGUCGUAAAAGAGCGUUACUCCGUUCCAGUGCUCCAGAGCAGGAGAGCCCAGAACGGUAUCCGUCGCUGUUUUUUUUCUUGGCUGCAUAUUUAGCCAGAGUAUACUCUCCACAUCGGAAAAUGCAUACUGAGCUUAACCAGGCCAAGCCUCUAAUAACACGUUACUCUGCUACUUUAAACACCGAAGCACGUUACAUCCCGACACUAUCUAGCAUCACAUUGAGGAUAGCCGGAUAAUGCUAAAAGGGCUACAGCUUUGCCUUGACGGGAAUGCUGAGCUGCUUCAAUCUGCGUGGAUGAAGAGGGUUGAUUUGCCAUGCCGAGUAUUAGCCGCGCGAGGUCUGCGAUGCUGGGCAAUAGCUGGGGAGAUGGAAGCCUGGUGCUGGGACCCCACAGCACUCUUCAGUUUAUCCAGCCUUCUUCUUGCUGCUGGGGAGUUGCUGCACCUUCUUCUGCAAAGGGCUGCUCGCCGGCUCACGUUGUUAAUCUAGCUUCCCUGCGAUCGAUCGACGUCUCUGAGUGACACGUUGUGUCAGAACCACUAAUUCAACAUUCACCUUGCGUCUGGUGCUUGCUCAAAAUGACAACUGACAGCAUUUUGAUUUAAUGUAUUCAGCAUCCACGCCCCGAGUGAGGGUACCCAAAAGUGUCUAGUACGAACGUCCUGUGUAACCGGCUAGAUCUUUUUAAGUUUCUUUCUCGACACUGGUGUAAAUUAAUCAAAAACAGGAUAUUUAAUGUUUGCAAACAGGAGACAGAGUUGACACACAUAGUGUCAUGCGCCAAGCCUACUUAAAGGGUUUCAUCUUCGGAGCAAGAAUAUAUAGUUGGAAGAUAAACAUGCUAAAACAGGGAGGGGGUGUGGUAAGCAAGUUGCCUGGAACGAGAGGAAGGUUUAUUUUCAAAAUAGACCAGGAAAUCACGAGACAACCUGAUUAUAUUAAAUGAAAUGAGCCAUCUUUGAGAAUCUAUCCACCACUGCGAGAACAGUGACGAAGUCCAGCGAGUUCUCAGCCCAGGGUCGACUGGUUGCGGCAGACUCGUCCGUGCCUGGGAGGAGGUCUUGUUCCUAGCAGAGACGAGGAAUGCCUCCCCAUACUCCCAGUCCUUGCUUUCCAUGGAAGGCCACCAGAACCUUUGAUGGCAAACAAGGUUCUCCUGAUCCCUAGAUGGCAGGUGAGCUUUGAGGUAUGAGCCCAAUGAAUCACCUGUGUGCGCAUAGCAACUGGAAGAAACAGGCGAUUAACUGGACAACCACUAGAUGUAUGGUUCUCACCAUCAGCACGCUUCACCUCUGAUUCUAUCUGCCACAUUACCGUUCCUGCCGCACGGUGCAGUGGCAGUAUUGGCUCAAGUUUCUUGGCAGUAGGCUCAAGGUCAAACAGACGAGACAGAGCGUCCGGCUUGGUGUUCUGGGACCCCGGCUUUUAAGACAAAAUAAAGUCAAAGUGGUUAAAGAACAGAGUACAUGUGGCUUGACGAGAGUUCAACCUAGCCUUGCGAAUAUACUCAAGGUUCUUAUGGUCAAUCCAGACAAUAAACGGGUGUUGAGCCCCCUCUAACCUCUGUCUCCACUCUUCUAAUGCCAACUUUACAGCGAGCAACUCAUGGUUACCAACAUCCUAGUUCAGCUCCACCGCUGAAAGUUUCCUGGACAGGACGGCACAUGGAUGGAUCUUGUGGUCUUUGGCAGACCACUGAGAGAGGACCGCCUCCACACAGUUGUUAGAAGCAUCCACCUCCACCACAAACUGUCAAUUGGGGUCUGGAACCGUGGGGGGCCAUGGUAAAUAUCUCUGUGGUGGCGGGCGUGGUUUUGCUUAGCUGCAGAAGGGACGGAGAAGGGAGAGGUUCGGGGAACGGUGCCAGGAGGAGGCAUAAUUGGCCUCAGGUGUGUUUAAUCAGUGUGUGUGUUUGUCCUGCUUUUAAGUAGGAGAGAUCCGGCGACGGCAAGAGAGGGCUUAGCCGACAAGGAAGCCAGAGCCGAUCGCGUUACAUUUGUUGUAAACGACUGAAUAAAAUUAUACAUAAUGGACCCAACUGCUGCAUGCUUGUCAUUCCGAGACCGUAGGACGAACCUGCCACAAUCUCCUUGAGCUGAGUGAAAGCCUCCUCUGCUUGGGGAGACCACAGGAACGGAGCUUAAGAGGUGAGAGCAUGGAGAGGAGACGCUAUGGCGCUGAAGUUUCUGAUAAAUCGCCUGUAAAAGUUUGCAAAACCCAGGAAUGGCUGAACCUUCUUGCAGUUACCAGGUGUAGGCCACAGCACUGACUUUUGCCGGAUCCAUUUGUAUCUUUCCAGGGGCAUGACGAUGCCCAGAAAAGACACCACAUUGGCAUGAAAUUCACUCUCUUCUGCUUUAACAUAAAGCUGGUUCUCCGGCAGGCGCUCAGGACCUGGCAGACAUGGGUCUUUGUCAUGGGAGAAAAUCAAGAUGUCAUCCAGAUCGACAAAAACAAACUGGUUAAGAAACUCCCGGAGCACGUCGUUGAUCAAUGCCUGAAACACCGCAGGAGCGUUGGUUAGGCUGAAUGGCAUCACAAGGUACUCUUUAAUGGCCGGAAGGAGUGUUAAAGCCAGUCUUCCACUCGUCGCCCUUGCUGAUGCGACCCAAGUAAGCAUUUCGCAGGUCUAGCUUGGUGAAAGUUUUGGCCUGUUGUAGUUGUUCAAAGGCUGACAUGAGGGGCAGAGGGUAACGAUUCUUAAUAGUAAUGUAAUUUAAUGGUCCAUAGUCAAUACAGGGUCUCAGGAAACCAUCCCUUUUCCCCACAAAAAAGAAACCGAAGCCGAAAUGUAUUCGGUGAUAGCUACUUUCUUAGGGCUGAAAAUAGAAUAAAGUCUCCCCUUUGGAAUUGGUGCCCCUGUUAGGGAUUUAAGCCAGAAGUGCACCCCUAGUCAUGGAAUUAUAAUACAUGUAAUAAUGUUUAGUGUUUGAAUUGUAGUUUGUGAUGUUAGAUAUUAGUUAUUACAUUAACAUGUUGGAUGAAGUGAAUGCAAUUUGAAUUAAACACAAUGUAUAGUCGUUUAAAUCAUAUAAACACUGUACACAUUAACAUUCUGUCACAAUGUGAUGUUAAAACCUGGGGACGGAUGCUAAUUGCCGUCCUUUAUGGAUUUCUCCCAAUUUUAUCCCCAAAGAGGGUUUUUUGGGAGUUUUUUUCUCCUGUCAGGUAGUAAAUGAACAACUUAAUGUAAGGCAGCCGACUGAGGCAAAUGUCUUGAGAAUUGGACCACAUGAACUGUCUUAGAUCUUCUGAUGAAGUGUGAUGAUCAUUAAUGAUGUGUUGUAAUUAAGGUGUACUAGUUAUAAGAUGAAGACAAACUAUGCAUGCUUUGUUAUAUUCACUCAUUGAGGCAUAAAGCCAAAUGUAUCUACAUUGAAUGCAUUGGAAUGUGAGGGACAGAUAGGACAGAGGUUCAGGUUACAGCUGCAGCUUCACACCUCGAUGGGAAGGGGACAGUCCAGGAGGGAACACUUUGAAGGAGAAGCCAAUGACAUUCAAAUGCACCAAAGAAGACACACCUCAAGAGUUUUCAAAGGACCAAAGUGGGGAAAGGACUGUUUUCCUGCAGCCGCUUUGAUAAGUCGCUUUAGACUUGCUCAGAGAAUUCUCUAUUUCGCAAAAUAUUUUACUGUUCGCUUUGUAUUUCACUUUGUAAUUGUAUUCCUUAUGACGUUGCUUAGUUAUUAAAUACUUUUUGAUUUUUGAAUUUAAGCAAGCUGACUUUUGAUUCUUCGUUUCCGGCCGGGACGAGAACAAAGGAGUGAGGCCUCCCUCGAGAGCUUUCCGAAACCCUAACACCCCCCGGGGUAAGGUCAAUGGGACAGUCGUAAAGGUUGAUGGGGUGGUAGAAGUGGCCUUAUUCUUGCUGAACACUUCCUUGAUCAUGAUAGAAACUGGGAAUGGAGGCGCUGACAUGGCUUUGGCCAUUUGUCAGCGGCAUAAUAGCCAUCUGCUCAGAUGAUCAGCUAUGAUCCAGCACUCAUUAAAGAUGCUCAAAAUAAUGGUUUUAUCUGAUUGCUUAACUUUUGAUUCAAACUGAAUGAUUAGUAAUUGACCAGGAGAGACAAGUGACUGAUUAGUAAUAAACAUUUACUAAGAGAUGAUGUGUUACUGCGUUUCAUGAAUAUUCCUUGAUGCUUGAACAGAAUAGUGAUCAAAUGGCCCUGAUCAGCAACAAUAUUUAAAUACUUCCAAUGAGCCCAGAAACUAUUCAUUUUUAAAAGCUGAAUAGAUUUAGCCAGUCUCAAUAUUUAAAUAUCUACAGGUGAUCUCAAGUGGGCCAGACCAUAAAAAUCAUAUAGGGGAGGGUCCUGCUUAGACUGCGACUCCCAAUGGACUUUUUAGGAAUAGCAGCUACUUUUAUAAAUGCAAUACAUGUCUUUCUGUAAUUCUCACAAUAGCAAAGUCAUCCGGUGGGCCAGACCCAACCCGCGGGCCUUGACUUUGAUACCUGUGUUAAGAGGGAGGGGAAACCUAGUGAUCGACCUUACCAUUUUCUAAACUCUGACUUUAAACUACCGGUCUACAAGUUUCACACAUUGGGCCAAAAUUUAAAAACUGGGAAUACGUUGAGGGCUGGGGGCCAUGCGCAUGGGCAGUCCAGUUGCAGUCAAACACGGAGAGGACUGACUGGAGCACGGGCUGCUCAGCAAGAAUACCGUGACAGCAACCAUCUGUAAGUGCUUUGGGGUGUUCUUUUAUGACAGUAACUAGAGAAGGCUACGUGACAUGAUAUUUUCUCGCAGACUGGAGAUAAUUGUGCCAAGGCCAACUCCCACCCGCGGGCCUUGAGUUUGACAUGUCUGUGGUAGACAAACCCCACUUGUUAUUUUGCAUCAUAUUUAAUGUGUGUACGUUAAAACUGUUUUUAGUAAGGAGAUAUGCAUACAUGCCGCAUGUAACAUGCUGUCCCAGCAAGGGAAUGGAAUGGUUUGUUUUUAAAUGCUGAAAAUAAGUCUAAUGCUUCUCCAAUACGUCCAGCAAACAAGGGCUCAAUGUGACAUGGCCUUUACCACAUAGAACUUUAAUUCAAGGAUUUACAAAGACUAGCUGAUAUAUUUAAGUGCCCAAAUAUAUCAGAUGAAGCACAUUUUACUUUAACAAAGCCAUGCUUUUACAAAAAAAAAAAGAUUUUGAGAUUACAAACAAUAAUAAUUGACCUUCAAUAUUCUCAUGUAAUAAUUUAUUAUUUCUAAAUGUUUUAUUUAAUAUUCACCUGAAAAUUUUUGUUUGCAAUGAUUUUAAUAUGUUCAUGUUGAGCGAGUGAGAACGAUUGACUCUUACACAGGCACUGAGGUUAGCUUUGGGGGCCUUUGGGGAAAAAAGCAGGAAGAAUGUUACACUUGACAG